This is a long non-coding RNA of Sinocyclocheilus rhinocerous, 160 nucleotides long. RefSeq lists it as uncharacterized. The record is from RefSeq and is a predicted model, not a curated record. The transcript has 3 exons. NCBI's taxonomy places the organism in Eukaryota, Metazoa, Chordata, Actinopteri, Cypriniformes, Cyprinidae.
UCAUCACAGCAUCUGCCAAAUAAGAAGAAAAAAAAAAGCACAAGAAAAGCUUAACAUAUUUUUUUUACUUUAAUUACACUAAUUGUGACAGGGAGUCAUUCUCUUUUACUUGGAUGCCAACUAAAAACAAAAACGAGAUAUAUAACCAAUAAUUACAAUU